AGAGUUUGAUCCUGGCUCAGGAUGAACGUUGGCGGUGUGCCUAAUACAUGCAAGUCGAACGGAGUUAAUAGCAAUAUUGACUUAGUGGCGAACGGGUGAGUAACGCGUUGGUGAUCUGCCUCGAAGUGUGGAAUAACGUUCCGAAAGGAUCGCUAAUACCGCAUGUGCUCUCGAUUUUUAGAAAGUUGAGAGUAAAGGAUUUAUUCGCUUCGAGAGGAGCCUGCGUCCCAUCAGCUGGUUGGUAGGGUAACGGCCUACCAAGGCUAUGACGGGUAGGGGACCUGAGAGGGUGGCCCCCCACAAUGGAACUGAAACACGGUCCAUACACCUACGGGUGGCAGCAGUAGGGAAUAUUAGAAAUGGACGAAAGUCUGAUCUAGCAACACCGCGUGUGCGAAGAAGGCCUUCGGGUCGUAAAGCGCUUUUUGGAAGGAAUAGGAAGGAAUGUACUUCCAGAAUAAGUCUCGGCUAACUACGUGCCAGCAGCCGCGGUAACACGUAGGAGGCAAACGUUAUCCGGAUUUACUGGGCGUAAAGCGCGUGUAGGUGGUACUGUAAGUAGGGCGUGAAAGCUCCCGGCUCAACUGGGAGAGGCCGUUCUAAACUGCAGAACUAGAGGAUGGUAGAGGGAGGUGGAAUUCCAGGUGUAGCGGUGGAAUGCGCAGAUAUCUGGAGGAACACCAGUGGCGAAGGCGGCCUCCUGGACCAUUCCUGACACUCAGACGCGAAAGCUAGGGUAGCAAACGGGAUUAGAGACCCCGGUAGUCCUAGCCCUAAACGAUGUAGACUAGGCGUCGGUGGUUUAAUCACCAUCGGUGUCCAAGCUAACGCGAUAAGUCUACCGCCUGGGGACUACGGCCGCAAGGUUAAAACUCAAAUGAAUUGACGG
RNAcentral lists this ribosomal RNA (889 nucleotides) under Chloroflexi bacterium enrichment culture clone B312104. RNAcentral's name for it is "bacterial SSU rRNA". It matches the Rfam family "Bacterial small subunit ribosomal RNA", at positions 8 to 916 of the family's 1533-position model. Lineage: Bacteria; Bacillati; Chloroflexota. The record is from RNAcentral.